RNAcentral lists this ribosomal RNA (644 nucleotides) under Bacillus sp. (in: firmicutes). RNAcentral describes it as "bacterial SSU rRNA". It matches the Rfam family "Bacterial small subunit ribosomal RNA", at positions 36 to 662 of the family's 1533-position model. The record is from RNAcentral. Lineage: Bacteria; Bacillati; Bacillota; Bacilli; Caryophanales; Bacillaceae.
CUGGCGGCGUGCCUAUACAUGCAAGUUCGAGCGGACAGAUGGGAGCUUGCUCCCUGAUGUUAGCGGCGGACGGGUGAGUAACACGUGGGUAACCUGCCUGUAAGACUGGGAUAACUCCGGGAAACCGGGGCUAAUACCGGAUGCUUGUUUGAACCGCAUGGUUCAAACAUAAAAGGUGGCUUCGGCUACCACUUACAGAUGGACCCGCGGCGCAUUAGCUAGUUGGUGAGGUAACGGCUCACCAAGGCAACGAUGCGUAGCCGACCUGAGAGGGUGAUCGGCCACACUGGGACUGAGACACGGCCCAGACUCCUACGGGAGGCAGCAGUAGGGAAUCUUCCGCAAUGGACGAAAGUCUGACGGAGCAACGCCGCGUGAGUGAUGAAGGUUUUCGGAUCGUAAAGCUCUGUUGUUAGGGAAGAACAAGUACCGUUCGAAUAGGGCGGUACCUUGACGGUACCUAACCAGAAAGCCACGGCUAACUACGUGCCAGCAGCCGCGGUAAUACGUAGGUGGCAAGCGUUGUCCGGAAUUAUUGGGCGUAAAGGGCUCGCAGGCGGUUUCUUAAGUCUGAUGUGAAAGCCCCCGGCUCAACCGGGGAGGGUCAUUGGAAACUGGGGAACUUGAGUGCAGAAGAGGAGAGU